AGAGUUUGAUCCUGGCUCAGGAUGAACGCUAGCUACAGGCUUAACACAUGCAAGUCGAGGGGAAACGAUGCGGAAGCUUGCUUCUGCAGGCGUCGACCGGCGCACGGGUGAGUAACGUGUAUCCAACCUGCCCCGAGGUAAGGAAUAAUCCGUAGAAAUGCGGUCUAAUACCUUAUGUGCUCCGAAGAGGACAUCUGAUUUGGAGUAAAGAUUUAUCGCCUUGGGAUGGGGAUGCGUCUGAUUAGAUUGUUGGCGGGGCAACGGCCCACCAAGUCAUCGAUCAGUAGGGGUUCUGAGAGGAAAGUCCCCCACAUUGGAACUGAGACACGGUCCAAACUCCUACGGGAGGCAGCAGUGAGGAAUAUUGGUCAAUGGGUGAGAACCUGAACCAGCCAAGUAGCGUGCAGGAUGACGGCCCUAUGGGUUGUAAACUGCUUUUGUACGGGGAUAAAGGAGCCCACGUGUGGGUUUUUGCAGGUACCGUACGAAUAAGGACCGGCUAAUUCCGUGCCAGCAGCCGCGGUAAUACGGAAGGUCCGGGCGUUAUCCGGAUUUAUUGGGUUUAAAGGGAGCGCAGGCCGUCGGUUAAGCGUGUUGUGAAAUGUAUGCGCCCAACGCCUGCACUGCAGCGCGAACUGGCUGACUUGAGUACGCACGACGUUGGCGGAAUUUGCCGUGUAGCGGUGAAAUGCUUAGAUAUGGCGANACUCCNAU
This 714-nucleotide ribosomal RNA is filed under the name uncultured bacterium. RNAcentral's name for it is "bacterial SSU rRNA". It matches the Rfam family "Bacterial small subunit ribosomal RNA", at positions 8 to 713 of the family's 1533-position model. The record is from RNAcentral.